This 433-nucleotide ribosomal RNA is filed under the name uncultured bacterium. RNAcentral's name for it is "partial 16S ribosomal RNA". It matches the Rfam family "Bacterial small subunit ribosomal RNA", at positions 29 to 507 of the family's 1533-position model. The record is from RNAcentral.
AGCGAACGCUGGCGGCAGGCCUAACACAUGCAAGUCGAACGAACUCUUCGGAGUUAGUGGCGGACGGGUGAGUAACACGUGGGAACGUGCCUUUUGGUUCGGAAUAACUCAGGGAAACUUGUGCUAAUACCGAAUGUGCCCUUCGGGGGAAAGAUUUAUCGCCAUUAGAGCGGCCCGCGUCUGAUUAGCUAGUUGGUGAGGUAACGGCUCACCAAGGCGACGAUCAGUAGCUGGUCUGAGAGGAUGACCAGCCACACUGGGACUGAGACACGGCCCAGACCCCUACGGGAAGCAGCAGUGGGGAAUCUUGCGCAAUGGGCGAAAGCCUGACGCAGCCAUGCCGCGUGAAUGAUGAAGGUCUUAGGAUUGUAAAAUUCUUUCACCGGGGACGAUAAUGACGGUACCCGGAGAAGAAGCCCCGGCUAACUUCGUG